AAAGGAAGUGCAACAGAAAUGUCAAGUGAUGCGAGAAAGAGCUGAGCCUUUGACCAAGCAGAUUUCAACCCUAAUAGAGACUAUUCAGAUGAUCAAGGACAUGGAUGUUGACCCUAUCACAUUCCUUCAGAGCCGAAUCCACAGCAACAGACACUGCAGAUGCUGAGGUAGUGUCAGGAGCAUUCAUUGACAUAGCCAAGCAUGUGGGAUCUCUGAAAUUCAAGGUCUGGAAGAAGAUGCUUGGGAUCAUUUACUAUACUUCGGUGACCAUGGAUCCAAAACACAGUGUCUGCAAGGCUCAUAAUGACUCAUGACCUGACCACUGUGACAUACAGCGAGGAGAGUCAGAACCUUCCAGAAAAUCCUGAGAGGCUUAAAAUGGGAGUGUUGGGUUCUGAAGGUCACAGUAAAAGGCAGACAUUUUUGGGAUGUAGAGGUAGGAGAAAGUGAUAACUGGACCCUGGGAGUAGCCAAAGAGUCAAUUGUGCGCAACAAGCCACUCAAAAUGGAGCCUCAGAGCGGAUUGUGGAGCAUCAGGUAUAUUAGUGGGAAACACAGAGUAUGUGUAAAACCACGCAUCCAGAUCAAGCUGGAUGAGAGCCCACGAGUGAUCAGAGAACAUCUGGACUGUGACCAAGGGGAGCUGACAUUCUGUGAUCCCACUAAGAGCACUAUUCUGUACACCUUCAAUGAUACAUUCACUGAAAAAGUGUUCCCAUACUUUUACAGUACAAAUCAGUUUGUCCCACUGCACCUUUUGUCAGUUAGCCCCAACUUUGGGCAGAAUAUAAACAUGAGUGGAGACAGGUUGCCAGGUUUAUAAUAUGUGGGGACAAAUAUCUACUAACGUGUAUCAACUAGAGGGACCCCAUUGUGUGAACUUUAGUUGAAUCCAGCUCCAUGUAAAUAGCUGUAAAACUUGCCUCAACACAAAGCAUACUAUGGGUAUAAGUAGUGUAAUCUAAUUGAUGCCAAUGGAAUGUGGUAUGGUAACAACUGUCUACCUCAUAAUG
Non-coding RNA from Oncorhynchus mykiss (rainbow trout), 1013 nucleotides. The record is from RefSeq and is a predicted model, not a curated record. Lineage: Eukaryota; Metazoa; Chordata; Actinopteri; Salmoniformes; Salmonidae.